UUUUUUGGCCAAUGGACAUUCAGUAUUCAUUCUAGUUUCCUGAAGUUGUCUUUUAUUUAUUUAUUUAUUUAUUUGGCCACACUUGUGGCAUGCAGGAGUUCCUGUGCCAGGAAUCGAACCCAUGCCACAGAAGUGACCCAAGCCACAGCAGUGACCAUUCCAAAUCCUUAACUUGCUGAGCCAUGAGGGAACGCCUCCAUAAAAAUUUUAGAAUAAGAAUAUUAAUUUUCCAAAAGCUUUCUGGAAUGUUGAUUGGGGUUGUGUUCCUAGGUGAGCAGUAAAUAGCCAGCACCCUUGGAUUUUCUUGAUUUAUGGCACCAGAAAAACUCAGGCUUUGGCCCAGCAGCAAGCUGAGAGCCACUACAGGGCAAAAUCAAGGGAGAGUGCUGUGCCUGACCAUAUCAUCCUCAAACCUAACAACACCGGAGGUAACUCUGGCAGAUAAGGCCAACCCUCUGGCAAGCCUCAAGGACAGAGUCAUUGCACAGACUCCCCAGCAUCCUGGAGCAAGGCUAUGUUUUCUCCAAGAGGGAAUGACUCACCAUUUGAAAGAGGCUCCUGGUCUGCUACUGGUUUUAGUAACAACUGAGCACCUGAACUUGCAACAUCAGGUUCCCCAAAAAAACCAACAAAGGAGAAACUGCCUAAUCCUCAUUUACAAAUGGGUUGCCUGAAUAUGAUGGGUGUCCUGAAAAUAAACUGCCACUCCCUGCAUCACCACAAGGUGGAACUUCAGUGGGCAGAGCUGUGAGCAGAACAGCUGAUCGUCUACUUCAUAGGGAGGAAAAGCUCACUUUCAAUGUCAGUUUUGAUCCAGGUGUUGGAUUGGCUAUGGAAUAAAAUGCUUGAUUCUCCCAGCCCCCUCUAACCAGGGGGCUGACAUCUUGGAAUAAAAGGUUUGGAGUACAGAAGUCCACUUUAUGAAGCAUCCUUGCGGUCCGUAGAGAAAAUGAACAUACUUCCUGAUUUGCUUCUAUUGUCCUGGCAUCCCUCUGGUUUAAUGAGCCCUUAUUGAGGCAGCCCAUACCCGGAGCAGUGAGAGUGGCACCACCAGACUUGUUCCCCUGGACCACACGUGGCAUCUCAGCAUCUCUCCGCCAUAGUUGUGAACACCUGUGCUUUACCUGGAUUCAUUCUGUGCAUUCCUUAGCCAGAUGGGUCCCGAGGGCACUGGACAUUGGAUAAAAGACCAGAGAAUGAAACAUUUUAAAACUGUCUCAUCUGAUUCCAAGCAAAACAUAAUCCUACGUAUUGAGGUUGUAGGUUUAGCUCGUUGAAUUUCAAGGAGCCGUUGAAUGACCAACAGGACCAAAUGCCCAAGAGUGAAGAAAGGUUUCCUGGGCCGUGGGACUUGCAGUACCAAAACUGUGACAGUCUCAGACAAGCUGAGAUCCUGGUCUCCAGACAUCUUGUACAUGAAUUCAGAGCCCAGUGUGUUAAGGUGAAGUCAGGUUGGCAUGUGAAGAAAAGAAAUCAUGCAUACGGGGCCCCUGAGCCAAGAUUUCAGAAAAAGUACUCUUCAGGAGUUCCCGUCGUGGCGCAGUGGUUAAUGAAUGUGACUAAGAACCAUGAGGUUGCGGGUUCGAUCCCUGGCCUCACUCAGUGGGUUAAGAAUCCUGUGUUGCAGUGAGCCGUGAUGUAGGUCAUAGACACGGCUCGGAUCUGGAGUUGCUGAGGCUGUGGUGUAGGCUGGCAGCCGUAGCUCCAAUUAGACCCCUAGCCUGGGAACCUCCAUGUGCACCAGGUGCGGCCCUAAAAAGACAAAAGACAAAAUAAAACAAAGGACUCUUCACUGUGUACUGGAUACAAAAUAGAGGGCAGCUUUUAUGGCCCCCUUAUAUUCCAGUCCUCACUUCUCAAACCAGAAAAGCCUGAGAUAAAUGUCGUAUGAGGGUCCCUUCCUCCUCCUUUCUCCCAAGGGGAGCCCUGACUUGGGUUCUUCACAUCCUCAACCUGAAAACCACUCCCGCCUGCAAGAGCUGAUGCAGUGUUCGAACAGCCUCCAGAGAGUGCCUGAUUUUAUAGGAAUGGAGUUCUCCAAAUAUCCACCCAAAAAGGAGCGGAGAGGUGAGUUGAAGUACAAAUGAACCACAGAUGAACUGAGGACCACUGUGUAUUCCUGUCUCCUUUGCCGCUUGGAAAUUAAAGGAGGAAGAACUGUAGGCACCCCGCCAUUCUCUUAGCCGGUAUCACCUAGCCAGAUGCCUGGGAGAUAAAAGGUAUAAAAUUACCCCCUUAUAUUUUCCCUCCAAGGAGAUUUCGCUUCUGGGAUCCUAGCACCAGAAAAUAGAAACCCUUGGCUACUUAACAAACAGGUAACCAACACUUUUUAGACUUGCGUGUGCUUCUUGAAUUACCAAGGGAAAGGUAUGAUUUCACACAAAGUCAAAGAUGACAGAUGAUGUGUUCAGGACGUAUACAGGUGAUCUGGUGUCCGCAGCAUCUGAAGAGUGCUUUCCUUGCCUUCUCAAUUCCCCUGCUGCCUGGUAACCAGGAGGCAGCGCAGUGCAGCGCAGGGCCACGGGUAUCAAACUGAGGAUCACCUCCAGGGCUUCCACCUACCACCUACCAGCCGUGGGACAUCGGGCAAAUUCCUCGACUUGACAGGGCUCUUAUGAGGAUUAAGUGAGAUAAUCUGUGUAAAGCUUUUAGUACCGGGCCACAUGGUAAGUACUCAGAAGGGACUGUUGGUACUUACAGUUCUGGAGAGGCUAGGUCAUCUAAUCACCUGUGUUUUCUGCUGGGUGAACCAAGGGGAUUUUCCACCUCCUGGUUAGUUCAUAAGGUAUGUUAAUCACAGGAAAGUUUAUACGAUGAUGAGUUGGUGGUUGCCUAAUUUGAUGAGUCAGAUUGUUUUCUUUUUUUCACUUCUGUGUUGAAAAUAGAAAUUUAGGUCAACUUUUUGCUGGAGGCAGAAAAGUUUUUUUAGGAGUUCUCCUGUGGGGCAGCGGGUUCAGGAUUCGGCAUUGUCACCGCAGCGGCUUGGGACACUGCUGUGGCUGGUGUUCCAUCCCUGGCCUGGGAACUUCCACAGGCCGAGGGUGCGGCCAAAAACAAAACAUUCUUUUUAUUGGGUUACCUGUCUGAAAUGAGAAAGAAACCCCUUUGAAUGCCUGGCUAUCGACUCAGCCCCACAGCUGAUAUGAAUAGAUUUCCUUUGGGAACCUCAAGUAAGAGUCUUAGGAGAGAGUCUAUAUAUGGCUCUUAAGCUGGGAAACAUCGAUUAAAAUCUAGCUUAGAUUUAGUUUCUAAGGCUACCGGAAUUGAGACAUUUAAAAACUCAGAAUACCAAGAUUCUUUGGGUGAAUUUAACAGUGUGUGCUGUGAACAGCUGCACGAGAAUCAAAGGUCAUUACUGCCAUUGCCCAGGGCUGCAGUGUCAGCAAAGGCAACCCAGCAGGAGGAUGCAUGUGGUGGGAAUUUCGGGAUGCCUAGGACCACCCAAGGUGGUCAUCCCACUAAGAAGAGCUUACCUAACGCAUUGCUCUAAUAGGCUCUUAGGUUGCUAAUAAUCAUAUGGCCUUAAUCAGCAGUAAAUGAGAACCUACUUAAUCAAGCCACAGUCUUAAGGUAGUGUGAAGUAACAAGAAAAGUGAACUGCUACUAAGUGGCAUUACUCUGACAAGACUGGCAUAUUUUCAUUUUCCCAGUGUUCUCUUCUGUGCAUGAAACUGGGUUCUGGGCUUAAUAACCCUCAGCCAUAAAGUACUGUAACAUGUUAGUUCAUGCUGGGUGGCAACAGGUUUGUUUUUCAUGAUUAUGUAAUCUGAAUUCUUCUUCCAAGAAAGGAUUUGGAAAUGAGCUAUUAAAUUGGAUUGCCAGCAGACAUUUGGUCUAAAUGCACAUCUGCAUUAGCUGCAUGAAACUCCGGCCCUUUCUCUCUCAUGGCCCCCUACCCCUCUACAAAUCUGAAAACUGCAACUCUAGUGUGGCCCAUGAGAAAAACAGUCCAGCAGCUGGCCGAGGUUUACAUAAAGCAGUGAAAUGCCUACUAAGGAUUUUUAGGUGCGGGUAUUUGAUCUUCCUUGGUCUUAAAUAGCAACCUAAUGAGCCAGGCGAUCUGGGCACUCCGUACACUUGUACCCAGAUUAGAUUGGCUUUAAAAACUAAUAUAGUGUUAAAAUAUUGUGUAAAGGGUGCCUACUGGAGUAGGUUCAAAGACUUCAAGUGCUAGGUUGGUAUUUAUUGACUAAAAUGCUACUUAGAAAAGAGUUCACGUUGUUCUUAAUUUCCAAGACAAAGCUGAAAACCACAGCAAAUAACUGCUUGGGGGUUUGCAUUCCAUAGUCCUGGACUCAGAGGCAAGCUUCCUGUUCCCUCUUGGCUGGCAGACCCGACCCGAAGGCCAGGCGGUGAAUGGUUUGGUUCUUAGAGUUGCAGAAUCUGCGCCGGGUGCCAGACCAGGUGUUUUUUGUUUUUUUAAGUUCAUCGUAAAGAUUUGGAUCUCACGGAAAGAGAACAGGAGAGCAGACUGAGUUAGGUAUUUGGGCAAAGACCAUCUCUUUACAAAGAUCCACACACCUGAGUAGCUCCCAAAGAGGAGGGUUUCAAAAUAACUGAGACCCACACUUGGAAAACGCGAAUCAUUCCCCGGGAUCUUCUUGGUAAGAUUUCAGGAAUUAAAAGGAAGAAAAGAAAAAGAAAAAGAACCAUUCAAGAUUCUCAGGCCAACAGGAUUUUUAUUUUUUUCCUUCUAGGGGAAAUGCCAGAUUUUUUUCAAGUAGUAUAAUUCCGUGUUUUUGUAUGCAACUUGUAUGCACAGUCCUAUGUUUAUAAGGAGCUGAAAGUCAAAUGCUGAGAUUUCCUCUGCUACCUUUAUAGCUGGUGCUCUUACAUGGGCCCCAGGUCAGAACCUACAGGAAACUCUGGCUGUGCGUGUGCAUGUUUGUAACAAAGAAAGGGAGAGAGAAAGAUACAGAUAAAGACAGGGAAUUCCAGAAUUGUCCUUGCAAGGAGUAGUUAUGAGGCUGAAUGUUCUAGUGGAAAAUAAAUGAAGAGAAUCCUAGAACACUAGUUAUUCAAAUAGCACGCCCAAAUGAAUUGCUUAGGAAAAACCAUUAACCUCUUCUUCUCUGCCCCGUUAUUUCAGCAAUUUUAAAGGUCUUAUGGCCAAAGGACAAGAUCCGGAAGGGUUGGUGGUGGGGCUGGGGAGAGUUGAAGUUUAACUCAGCUGAACUGGGGGCGAAUUUCCUUGGCAGUGCAAAGGCUCUCAAUGAAGGCUCUCUGCCAGACAGAAGCAGCGCAGGCCACGCCCGGGCCACAGCGAGGCCCGUCCCUGACCCUCCUUCAGAGAAGAGGCUUGUGUCCUCCUUUUCUAAGGCAGCCCCUCCCUUGGGUAGACAAACAAGCCUCCUCAGUACGCAUCCUCCCCCACCCCCACCAGUGUGCUCAUUCCAACCUUUGUGCCCCCUUCCAACCUCUCCUUGUAAUUCUCUCUCCCCACCUCUUUAACCCAACCUCUCACCCCCUUCCAGGUCCAACACCAGAUCCUCUAAGCAUCCUUGCAAAUAAAGAGCGUUCCCCUGGGGCUGCUCUCCAUCCUCUCCGCCCUCAUCAGGCUGCUAAUAUUUUCACUGUUUCUUAUAGACGCUGUAGAGACAAAAGCCCUUCUCCUUUCUUUUCUGGCUGUCCAAUUCUUUCUUUUCUUGAAAAAAUAAAUAACCUUAUGAUCUCCCUGCCUGGCUUUUAUCAUGGUUUUCUACAUCCACAGAUGUAGGUGGAACAUAACUGACUUCACCUGCUGUUCCAUCCAGGCAUAGUCUUAGUUCAGCCGAAUCCACUGGAAUCAACCCAGGCCCAUGUUUGGCUUCGGUAAAGGUUCUCUGACAUGAGAAUUUAAAAGCAUUCCAUGGAGUUCCCGCCGUGGCACAGUGGUUAAUGAAUCCGACUAGGAACCAUGAGGUUGCGGGUUCGGUCCCUGCCCUUGCUCAGUGGGUUAAGAGUCCGGCGUUGCCGUGAGCUGCGGUGUAGGUUGCAGACACGGCUCGGAUCCCUCGUUGCUAUGGCUCUGGCGUAGGCUGGCGGCUACACCUCCGAUUAGACCCCUAGCCUGGGAACCUCCGUAUGCAGUGGGAGCGGCCCAAGAAACAGCAAAAAGACAAAAAAAAAAUAAAAAUUAAAAAAAAAAAAAAAG
Molecule: long non-coding RNA, 6133 nt
Filed under: Sus scrofa (pig)
Lineage: Eukaryota; Metazoa; Chordata; Mammalia; Artiodactyla; Suidae
Description: lncRNA (ENSSSCG00030002351.1)
Source: RNAcentral